UCAACCUAUAAUCAAUGUAAAAAAUGAUUGAACUAUUAUUAUACAUUCUUCUUUUCAUACUGUCUUUAAAAUCUAGUGACUUUUUUCCACUUACAGCACAUCUUAAUUUGGACUAGCCACAUUUCAAGUGUCCGAUAGCAACAUGUGGCAAGUGGCUUUAACACAAGUCAAAAGCAAUGUGCCCUGGCCCCCAAUCUAGAAGGUUGGAGGCACUCCUUACCCCAGCCUCUGGGCUGGUGGAACACUGUGAGGGCAGUUUCCAAAACCCCAAAGGAGUUAAACCUCCUCUGAAUGAUGAGGGAACAUCGUAGGCUCCAAUUUGAAGUUUAAUAGUGAUAAUGUCUGAUCUGUAUAUAGCACUUUCUGUUCUAAGUGCUUUACAUAUGUUAAAUCAUUUAAUCUUUUUUUUUUUUUUUAAUAGAGACAGGGUCUCACUAUUUUGGCCAUGCUGGUCUCGAACUUCUGGCCUCAAGCAAUCCUCCUGCCUUGGCCUCCCAAAGCACUGGAAUUAUAGAUGAAAAAUUAUCUGCUUUUAAAGGGCUCCCCGAUUGAGUUAUGCUCACUUGGAUAGUUUUACAGUCAACUGGGACUUCAAUUAUAUCUGCAAAAUCCACUCAUAGUAAUGCCUAGAUUAGAGCUUUAAUUAAUAACCAGGAGAUAAGAAUCUUAAGAAUUCUGCCUAGAGUUUUUCAUCAAAAAUGUUAAGUCAACUUUCCACAGAUAUAUAACCUAUGUUCAGAAAAGCACCCAAAUCACAUCUGAAUAGAUUAAUUUUCACACAGUAAACACACCCAUAUUAACUCCUACCUAGAUCAAGACUUUUAAAAGUUCUUUAUAAAUUCUUUGGUAGGCUGCCUCUGAUGGCCCACCAAUUACCCUGCUUCCUGGUAUUUAUGCUAUCUGCAGUCCCUUACCCUUGAGUGUGCACUGGAUUUACUGAUUCGCUUCUAAUGAAUAGAAUGUGGCAGAAGUAAUGAGAUGUCACUUUCAAGGUUAAAUUAUAAAAAGACUGUGGCUUGGGUGCUCAUUCUAUCUCAGGUUGCUUGACAUGAGGGAAAUCAGCUGCCAUGUCAUGAGGCAGCCCUGCGAAGAGACCCAUGUGACAAGGGACCAAGGUCUGCCUACAACUACAUGAGGAAGCUUGAAAGUGGAUCCCUCGCUUGGGUCUUCAGAUGAACCCACUGCCCUAUAGCUGGCAGCUUAACUACAACCUCAUGAGAGAUCUUGUGCCAGAAGUACCCAGCUAAGUUGUACCGAGAUUCCUGACCCACCAAGAUUAUGAGAUCACUGUUUUGGGGGUAAUUUGUUAUGUAGCAACACCUAACUACUAUUGAAUUCUAGAUUCAAAUCCUUUAUCAACUACAGCUAUUGUAAAUAUGCUGUACUACUCUGUGGCUUGCUUUAUCACUCUCUUGAUAGUGUCUUUUAUGAAUAGAAGUUCCUAAUUUUAACAUUCAAUUUAACUACCUUUUUCUUUAUUAUUCUUAGUGCUUCGAUUUUGUUUUAGUAAUCUUUGCCUACUCCAAAAAGGGAGCUUUUCUAUAUUCACAUUUAGUGCUUGCCUCGGCAGCACAUAUACUAAAAUUCUAAAUUCACAUUUAUAUAUAAAAUCCAUUUGGAAUUGAUUUUUGUGUAUUGUUUAAGGUAGGAAUCAAUGUAAUCAAUUUUUUCAUUAUUGAAAUCUGAUUGACUCUCCAUUUAUUGCAAAGGCAACUCUUUCUUUGUUGCACAGAAAUUUCAUAUUUGUCAUAAGUGACUAAAUAUGUGUGGGUUUUUUUCCCCUGAACGUCUUUCUAUUCCAUUGGUCUAUUUGUCCUCCUUGCAACAAUAUUAUACUAAGUGAUUGCAGUUUUACUGUAAGUCUUGAUAUCCGAUAAUGUAAAUCUUUUAAUUUUGUUCUUCUUUUAAGAUUGUCCUAGCUAUUCUUGGUCUUUGCAUGCCUAUAUAAACUUUAGAAACAGUUUCUCAAUUUCUUCAUAAACAUAUCCAAAUAAAAACCUACAGUUAUUUUGAUUGGGUUGCAUUGAAACUACAGAUAAAUUUAGGGAUAAAUGACAUCUUUCCAAUACUGAAUAUUCUUGGUUUAUUAACAUGGUAUGCCUUUCCAUUUAUUUUACUUUUCUUCAUCUGAAUAAUAUUUUGUAGUUUUCAGUGGAGAGGUUUUGCAUAUAUUUCAUUAGAUUUAUUCCUAGAUUUUUGAUAGUUUUGAUCCUUCUGUAAAUGAUAUCAUUAAAACAUUUUCUAUUAGUUUGUUGUUGGAAUGUAGGCAUAAAGUUGAUUUUCUUUAUAUUGACUGAGUAUUCAGCAAUCUUAUUAAAUUCAUCUAUUUAUCCUAACAGGUUAUUUGCUUAUUCUUUAAAAUUUUCUAUGUACAUAAUCAUGUCACCUGCUAAUGAUGAAAGUUUUAUUUCUUCCAUUCCAAUCUUCAUUCUGUCUAUCUAUCUAUCUAUCUAUCUAUCUAUCUAUCUAUCUAUCUAUAUUGGUCUGGCUAAGACCUUCAAAGCAAUAUAGUACAUGACCAGGCACAGUGGCUAAUGCCUGUAAUCCCAGCACUUUGGAAGGCUGAGGUGGGAGGAUCUCUUGAGCCCAGGAGUUCAAGACCAGCCUGGGCAACAUGGAGAGACCCCAUCUCUAUACAAAGUUUUAAAAAUUAGCUGGGUGUGGUGGUGCACAUUAAGGGUCUCUCCUAUCCCUUUUUUUUUUUUUCUUUUAACAGUACUUUGAGUUGCUGUUUUAUCUCAUUCUUUUUUUUUUUUUUUUUUUUUUGAGAUGGAGUUUCACUCUUCUUGCCCAGGCUGGAGUACAAUGGCGUGAUCUCGGCUCACCGCAACCUCCGCCUCCCAGGUUCAAGUGAUUCUCCUACCUCAGCCUCCCCAGUAGCUGGGAUUAGAAGCAUGCUCCACCACGCCCAGCUAAUUUUAUAUUUUUUUAGUAGAGAUGGGGUUUCUCCAUGUUGGUCAGGCUGGUCUCAAACUCCUGACCUCAAGUGAUCUGCCCUCCUCAGCCUCCCAAAGCACUGGGAUUACAAGCGUGAGCCACCACGCCUGGCUUUUAUCUCUUAUCUUAAUAAGCUAAGAGUUCUUACUACAAAUGACUAUUAAAUUUUAUCAAAAAAUGUUUUGUAUCUGUGGAGAUUGUCCCACAGUUUUUCCUCAUUUAUUUUAUUAAGUGGAAAACACUGAUUUUCAAAUGUUAAAUGAAUCUUGCAUUCCUGGAAUAAACUCCUUUUAUGAAGAGGUCUUAUUCCUUUCAUAUUUCACUGGAUUCAAUUAGCUAAUUAUUUUCUUCAGGGUUUUUAUGAUAGAGACUAGCAUGUAAUUUUCCUUUCUUUUAAUGUCCUUACAUUUUGGCAUCAAGGUUAUGCUAAACUCAUAAAAUGAGUUGGAAAGUGUUCCCUCUUUUUCUACUUUCCAGAAGUGUUUGGAGAAGAAAGGUGUAUUUCUUCCUCAAUUGUUUAAAAUGAUUCACUAAUCUGGCCCUCAAGAUUUUUUUUUUGUAAGAAGGUUUCUUUUUUAUCACAAAUUCAAUUUCUUUAAUAAAUAGAAAGUCUUGUUAGUCCUAUUUACUUUCUGUGUCAGUUCUGGCAAUUUUUUUUUUUAAGGAAGUUGUUUCAGUAACUUUGGAGUUAUUUAUAAUAUCCUUUUUUAUCUUUCUAAUGUAAGAUCUGUAGCAAUAUCUUACAAACAUAAGAUCUGUAGGAAUAUCUCAUUUUUCAUUUCUGAUACAGGUGUUUUGUAGACAAUAUUUUUCAUAAUCUAUUAUUGGAUCAACUGAUGAAUGGAUAAAAUGUGGUAUAUCCAUAGAAUGGAAUAUUAUUUGGUCAUAAAAAGGAAUAAAGGAUUGAUACAACAUGGAUACAUCUUGAAAACAUUAUACUAGAAGAAGCCAGUCACGAAGGACCACAUAAUGUAUGAUUCCAUCUAUCUGAAAUGUCCAAAAUAGGCAAAUCUAUAGAGACAGCAGAUUAGUGGUUGCCUAGGGAUGGUAGGUUUGGGAGAUGGGAAGGAGUGGGUGUGAGUGCCAAUGAGUAUGGGGUUUAUUUGGGGGAUACUGAAAAUGUUCUAAAAUUGAUAGUGGUGAUGGUUGUACAACUCUGUGAAUAUAUGAAAAACUACCAAAUUUUAUGGCAUGUGAAUUAUAUCUCCAUAAAGCUGCUUAAACAAAUCUAUCAUUGGACAGAUUAGAUCCUCCUUCAGUUUUGUUCAAAACAAGUUGGAAACUACCUAACUUAUAAAAGGUGUUAAUCAUUCAUUUUUUUUCAACCUCAAUAUCAAUAUUCCAAUUAUCCCUUUCACUGGUAUCCCAGAGGCUUUUCAUUCUGGAACAAUGCACAAUACUACAGCAAAACACUUUGAUUGCAAUAAUUCUCAGGAAGAUAAACUCUACGAAAUAUUUCAUAUGAGAAUAUGCCUGUGUAUCCUUAGAAAAGUCUUUACAUAUCUCCAGGGAUACUAUUACCUAGCCUGAAGGCCACUCUACUAGGCUAUACUGCCUCUCGGUAUAGGCAUGCUGGGGAGGAUUGUGCCCUGUUAUCUGCUAGCUGUGUGAAAAUGUAUUCCAUGGGAAGGCCCUUUGUAAGCCAGUUGGGAUCAGCAUUUGAGUUGCUGACCCAGACAUGGGUACUUCUAAGGUACCCAUGUCUGGGUCAACAACCGUAAUCCCAGCACUUUAGAAGGCCGAGUGACAAGGUCAUUUCCAGCCCAGGAUGUGUCAAGAGAUAUAGUCAGACAAGCCUAUGACAUCUGGAAGCCAUAACAAUGUAGAAAACAACCCAGAUAACCUUGGUUUCAUUUGGUGACAGUGAACUAAACAUUGUGUAGUUCUCUACCUGAGGCUGCCUGAAUGAUUUCUGGCAAUUAAAGGUAGAUUUAUAUAGCUGGACAACUUGAUCCCUUGUCUUUCCCCUUUUACUUUUUCGUGGCUGCAUUUCAUCUUUGUACCUUCGAUGUCUGCUGGGUGUAUAAUUAGCAUCCUGACAUCUGAGCAGCAGUGCUUCUCAGCUAGCUUUAUUUAGGGGUGGAAAUAUUUUUUGCUUUGGAUAAACUGAGGUACUGCUUCCCCCCAAAAAACUUCCUUGUUAUACUGGAUAUGACAGCCUUUUAACCCUUGAAACAUAUCAAGGACACAGAAAUAUCUGUGUCUAGAUUGCAGUUGGAGUUACCCUGUCCUUUAAGAUAUACAUGAAAUUGGCUCAACCCCUGUCACUCUCAUUCCAUGGGCUAUGUUAAGGUCAAUGUCCUCUUCACAAUUUUCUGAAAAUAACUGGGAAACAUUGGUUCAUGUAAUCACCUCUGACUUCAGCUCCUGUGAACUGUAUUAGUUUGGGGAUUGUCUCACUCUCUUCCCUGCUGUCCUUUCUCCCCCCAGGUCAACCUAGUCAUGGAAUUUAGAACUUGUUCUCUUUUGGUGGUGUGCAGGGCUGGGGAGGGAUCCCCAAGUCAUAUGUGUCUAGCAGACUUCAAAGAAAGUUAGGUAGAAAGUAGAGAUUUAAUUCCAAGCAAUGCAGGCAACAUAAAAUUGAGUAUCAGAUAUCUGUGUUCUUAAAAGUUUUCCCAUUUUUCCUACCUGCAUAGGGCUCCAGACUCCUGCCUGGGGCUUGGCUGUCUCCUCUCUGUUCUGAUUCCCCUAUACAUUGCAAAAGCUAACAUCCCAACUUUUUAGGCAGAGUAAAUCUUUUUUCCAAUCAUUCCCAUGGGUCUAGGUUUCUGUCUGCAUAUCAUAUGACACAAAACUAAAGCUUUAAAAUUAGUACUUAAAAGGAUUCACCCCAUUAAAGUCACAGACAACCAUUAUCCUCCUUCCCACUUUUAUUUCAGAGACUAGGGGUGGGUAUUUUGUUUGUUUUUAAUAUUAAUCAGGAAGAAUUCCUAGGAAAACAAAGCACUGCAUAUUAACUGAAUAACAGGAUGACGGGGAAAACUGAACCAGUCAACACUAUUUAUUGAGUGCCUAAUAUGUUCCAGGCACCAAGCUAGGCACAGAGGGAAACAAAAGACACAGUUCUGCUCUUGGGAAGCUUACAAUGCUAAUGGGAAAGAGAAACAUCGCUCACAGAAGCAAAAUGAAAAUAGUAAGUGCCAAGCACCAGGAAGGUCAGAUGCAGGUGCUAUAAGAGUAAUAUGCGGCCGGGCGCAGUGGACCAUGCCUGUGUUCCCAGCACUUUGGGAGGCUGAGGCAGGCGGAUCACAAGGUCAGGAGAUCAAGAACAUCUUGGCCAACAUGGUGAAACCCCGUCUCUACCAAAAAUACAAAAAUUAGUUGGGCGUGGUAGUGCACACCUAUAGUACCAGCUAUAUGGAGGCUGAGGCAGAAGAAUCGCUUGAACCCAGGAGGCGGAGGUUGCAGGGAGCAGAGAUCGCACCAUUGCACUCUAGCCUGGCAACAGAGCGAGACUCCAUCUCAAAAAAAAAAAAAAAAGAGUAAUAUGCUACCUAGUGGGGAGGCCAGGGAAGGUUUCCCUGAGGCUGUGGCUAUAGGGCUGUGAUCUGAAGGCCCAGGAAGGGUUAACUUGGGGAGAGGAGAAAGAGCAUUCCAGGCAGAGGGAGCAGGCCUUGCAAAGGCUUUGCGACAACAGAAAGCCCUGACAAAGGACUGAAAGAAGACCCACGUGGCUAGGGCUGCAGAAGUGUAGAGGAAGAUUAGAUUGGGAAGGUGGGUAAGAAAUGACCAUUAAGUUUCAAGCAGGGGGAACAUGAGACUCAAAUGUGCAUUUUGAAAAAAACAAAACACACAGACUCAGACUGCAGUAUGGAGAAUGGGACUGGAAUGUUACAAAGGCUUGAGAGCAGCUGCUAACUGCCUGUAGCACCCAUGGGGAGACACGCAAUUGUUAAGAUUACUCAGAGCAGCAUCUUAUCUGUGUGUGUGUUUUAAUGUAAUUUUUAAACUAAAUGAAUACACACAAAUGGUUUAAAAUGUAAAAUAGUGCUAAUACUAUUAGGCUUAUAAAAAAUAGCGGUCCCCUGACCAUCUGUCCCCACCCCCUUGACCCUUCUGGCCCCUUCUUCCACUCUUAACUAUUCAUCUGGUAGUCUCUCCUCCCCACCUUCUGCUUUUUAAAAACAUACUAUGCUUAGAGUACUAUUUGUUUUUCACUUUUAGACAUUGUUUACUUCCUACUAAGGAAGAAAAUAAUUUUGCGAUCUUACCCGCCUCCCCGCUCUAUUCUUAUCCUGCCAAGAGGGAACAUUCAGAGCAUUACCAGCGCUUCCUUUUUAGUCUUCCCAUGUAAGAAAAAUACUGACUCAUUCAUUACCUGAAAAAUCCAUCAAUCAGUAAGGACAGAACCAGCACAUUUCACGAUAAAUUUAUACCUUUGUUAGUAAAAAAGUACCUUCACUGUACAUCUAUCAUGGACAUAUUUGAAGCAGUAAGGAUUUUUACCCCUAAAGUAAAAACUACCAAAUUUUUAAGUUGGCAUAAGAGUAUUCAAGGAAAUCACAAUAUGUCCUACUUGCAAGACAUAACAAAGUUAUUUGCACUGGGAGGUGAAAAUAAUCUUCAUAGGACUAAUGUCUUGGGGAAGAAGCGUUAGCAAGGUCAUGAGCUGAUGAUACUCCGUAUCAUCUCCAGAUAGAAUACCAAGACAGGCCACUCCUAUUCACUGCUGCUAGGAGUGUAAAAGAGCAUGGAAACCAGUGGGCAAUUCCUACCCAGAACCUCCAAAAAGAAGUCAGAUUUUCACCCUCAGAGAAAUCAAUUCUAAGGAAGGAAAUACUCAGAGAUACAAGGAUUUAUGCAUAAGAAUAUUCAUGAUAGUAUUAUUUAUAAUAACGGAAAACAAUCUCACUGCCUCCAAAUAAAAAAACGGUUAAGUGAUACUGUAUCUAUAGAAUGCAAUAAUAGAAAAUCAUUAAAUUCAUGCUUUCAGAGAACACUUAAUGCCGUGGGGAAAUCCUCAUAAUAUGCUAAAUGAGAAAAACAGUUGAGGUCAGCCUACAUGUAAAAAUAUACAGGUGUACAUGUGUAUAAUAUACACACAUACCAACAUAGGUAGAAGCACAUACAAAAUAUCUAAACACACGCAAAACUUUUAAAACGCAUAGAAUAGACAGUUUUUUUCUCCCAAUAUGGUCUGCCACUCAUAUACCUCAGAAUCACCUUGGGGGCUUAUUAAAAAUGCAAAUUCUUGGGUAUUACCCCAGACGUUUGAAAACAGAGCCUAAGUCUUUGAAAACAGAGCCUAAGGAUCGCUGUCUACCUACACACCCUGAGUAAUUCUCACCCACCCCUCAGUUUGGGGACCACUGGAUCAGAAAUAACAGCUCUCUGUGGGUGAAGGAAUUACGAAUAAUUGUCUUCUUUUAUUGCAUCUUAAAAAAAUUCUCUACCAAACAUACGCUGCUUUUAUAAUUCAAAGUUCAUUAAAAGUGCAUUAAUGAGGCAUGAGUAUUAAACAGAGCUGAUUUAGGGUCUAUCUGGGCAAGUGUAAACAACUUUGGAGAAUUAGAACAUGCACUUCUUUUUUCUUGCGACGGAGUCUUGCUCUUUCACCCAGGCAGUGCAGUGGUGUGAUCUCGGCUCACUACAACCUCCGCCUCCUAGGUUCAAGCGAUUCUUCUGCCUCAACCUCCCGAGUAGCUGGGAUUAUAGGUGCCCGCCACCAUGCCCAGCUAAUUUUUGUAGAGAUGGGGUUUCACCACGUUGGCCAGGCUGGUCUCAAACUCCUGACCUCAAGUGAUCCGCCCACCUCGGCCUCCCAAAGUGCUGGGAUUACAGGUGAACCAUGGUGCCUGGCCACAAGUGUGCAUUUUUUAAAAUCUAAAAUACAGAAUGAGACUCUGUCUCAAAUAAUAAUAAUAAUAAUAAUAAAAUAAAAUCUAAAAUAAGUAGGUAUGUAUGGAUUCCUUACAAUUGAGUCAGUUUAGGACAAAGGAAGUAAUACAUUAAGUGUAGACAUGGAAAUCAUGAGCUCAAUAAAUUCUGCAGGUAAAAAACAUAAAUAGAAUAAUUUUGCAACGUAUGGAGAAUGGCAUUUCUAAAGUUCCAAGAUCUUCCUUGGCAAAAAGAGGAUUCAGUAAUCAAAUAAAUUUGGGACACAAUACAUAAUAUGGUCACCCUCCCCACUUAAGAGUCAAAUCCUUGGGUAGAUUACAGGUUCCGAGAAGUCCAAUAUAAACUUCUUUCUUAAUUCUAGCUCCACAAAUUCUUAGAAUGUCUCUAUCACUGAAAACAAAUUCUAGCCCAGAAGAGGGUCUAGAAAAAGUUCUCAUCAUGGACUGAUACUCUACACUUGACCCAACAUAUCGUUUCCACAUUCCCAUGGCCUCUGAGGGCUUAGCCCAUAUGUAUUUAUAGAGCCUGAUUCUAAGGGCAUGGCUCAAGUCAGCUACCAAGUAAUGCUCAGGAACAGCAAAAUUCGAGUGCCCAGGAUACAAGAUUAGAACAUGUGAAGCAACUACAGAUUUACUUUUUAUCUACUGGUCUCUUUCACUAGGCUGUGUGCUUAGGGCUGGAAUUUUGCCAUUUGUCUAUUCAUUUAUGUACUACCAACACAAUAAAGUCUGGCACUUACUUAGUACUCAGUGAAUGGGGCACCACCAAAGAGGUGGUGUAAAUUCUUUCCGGUAAGUUCAGUAAUGAAAUGGGCUAGUUUCAUUACCAUGCACCACCACACCUAGCUAAUCUUUGUAAUUUUAGUAGAGACGGGGGUUUAGCCACGUUGCCCAGGCUGGUCUCGAACUCCUGACCUCAAGCAAUCCAUCCACCUUGGCCUCCCCAAGUGCUGGGAUUACAGGUGUGAGCCACUGCCCCUGGCCAAGAUGGAGUCUUGCUAUGUCUCUAUGGACUUGAACCCCUGGACUCAAGUGAUCCUCUCACCUCAGCCUCCUGAGUAGGUGGCACUACAGGCACACACCACUGCACUCAGCUCUAGGUGGACAUUUCUAAGGAUGUGGCAGUGACUAAGACAUAAUAAUCUCUAUCCUCAGGGGCUUCAUGCAUUAGAGAUACUCAUCUGAGCCAUUCUAGUCCUAGAGUCCUAGCCUCUUGCACAAGUUUAGGUACAUUAGAUGUCUAAUUAAUGCUUAUUUGAAUUGAAUUUAGAAACCAUGGCAUGCUUUAUGCAUGAUCAAAAUUUGGCACUUUUUGCGGGCAGAGUCUAUAGUAAGACAGACCAUUCUAGAGACUGCAUCAGAAUGAUCAUAUCUUAAGUAACCAGACCUAUUUUGAUCAUUGUUUUUUGCUUUUUUUUUUUUUUUUUUUUUUGAGAGAGGGUCUUGCUCUGUUGCUCAGGCUGGAGUGCAAUAGCAUGAUCAUGGCUUACUGCAGCCUCAACCGCCCCAGGCUCCCACCUUGGCCUCCUGAGUAGCUGGACCACAGGCACACCACCAUGCCUGGCUAAGUUUUGUAUUUUUUGUAAUGAUGGGGUUUCACCAUGUUGUGCAGGCUGGUCUGGAACUCCUGGGCUCAAGCAAUCCGCCUGCCUUGGCCUCCAAAUGCUGGGAUUACAGGCAUGAGCCACUGCCCCCAGCCAAUCAUCACUACUUUGGAGUCUCCACAACUAGCCAGGAGUCAAAAAAUUUGGCCAGAGAAGCCCCAGAACCCAGAGGAAAUUGAACAUUCUUCUGCAGGACAUUGAUCUGCUGUAGGAACCAGUUCAUGAACCACAUAAUGGAAGACCAGCUCCGUGUGAGAGAGUUCCAUGGUUCGCCAGAUAAAGUCCCGAAGCCCUACAGGGCCAUAGAUUUCAAUAGGCUGUUUGGACACCAUGGAGCCACUCUGCAGGCUGAUUGUGCAGAGGAGCCCAGGAAGGCCAAAGAAAUGGUCUCCAUGAAGGACUCCCUAUACUGGACAGCGAUUAACCAAUCAAGUCACGGCCUGCUUGUCUGGGUGAGGUGGAAGAAGAUGGAGAAAAAGGAAGAACGUACACCUUGCCACCUCAACUCCUACUGUCUAAAAUGUUAACUGUCAAGUCUCUACUCUGGCCUGUGCCUGUCCAGAGGGCUCUCAUGAAGGUUCUCAUGAAAGGAAUCUCUGUACGAUCCAAGAAAAGCAAAGAAUAGCACCUGAAUUAUCUCAAAGUUUCAACACAAGACAGUAUAUAACUACGGUUCAAUUGUACCUACCAUAUGUCCCAAACAAUAUGCAUUAGCUCCUUCCUCCAACAACUCUUUUCCUGACUUCUUCUCUAGGUCCAGGACAUCACCAUCAGUAACUUGUAUUAAUUCUUCACUUCCUCACACACUAGACAUUCAGUGACCAUCUCCUCUUAUUUCUACAAGUAUCUCUUAAAUUGAAUCUCUCAUCUCCAUCUCUAUACUUCAAUAUCCUCAUUCUCUCUCUCUCUCACACACACACACAUAUACACAGUGAUGAUAUGGUUUGUGUCCCCACCCAAAUCUCAUCUUGAACUGUAGCUCCCAUAAUCCCUACAUCAUGGGAGGGACCCGGUGGGAAGUAAUUGAAUCAUGGGAGCAGGUUUUCUCAUGCUGUUCUCGUGACAGUGAAUAAGUCUCACGAGGUCUGAUGGUUUGAUAAAGGGGAGUUCCCCUGCACAUGCUCUCUUGCCUGCCACCAUGUAAGACAUACCUUUGCCUUUGCCUUCCACCAUGAUUGUGGGGCCUCCCCAGCCUUGCGGAACUGCGAUUAGUUCAUUAAACCUCUUUUUUUUUUAAAUAAA
This is a long non-coding RNA of Homo sapiens (human), 11620 nucleotides long. RefSeq lists it as uncharacterized. The record is from RefSeq and is a predicted model, not a curated record. NCBI's taxonomy places the organism in Eukaryota, Metazoa, Chordata, Mammalia, Primates, Hominidae. The transcript is spliced from 4 exons.